Molecule: long non-coding RNA, 5794 nt
Organism: Brassica napus (rape)
Lineage: Eukaryota; Viridiplantae; Streptophyta; Magnoliopsida; Brassicales; Brassicaceae
Exons: 2
Source: RefSeq, a predicted model, not a curated record
CUUGAUUGGAUCUGAGAUCACCUUGUUUAUAUUUCUAGGAUAUUAGUUUGUUACAAAUCAUCUAUCUUCUUGUUUGCUUAGAUUAGGAAGGUUUGUGUAUUCUUGGUGUUAUAAGUCUCUAGUUCUCUGUGGAUUCGAUCCUAAAAUGCUACAAUGACAUACCAUUCGAUUGUGGUAUUGUUGGCACAUUAGGUUAAUUGGUGUGUGCUUAAACGCUUAAUCAAUCCUGUGGAAAAAGAUCACGCUCGGCCUGGAAUGUCAAAGGAGAAGGAUUUUGGAGAGCUUGUACCUGCGCACACUGAAGCAAAUGGUUAGCAUCACUCACUCUCUCUUGAAUUUGUGAAAAAUUCUCUCUGUUUAGUUGUCUUAGAUCUUGUUUUAUCAGUUUCAAUUUCCAUCACAGCUGAGUAAGGGUUUGGCAUGCAGAACCGGCUUGGAACCACACAUCGUUAAUUAGCUGCGAAAACUUUGGGUGUUUUGUCAGGUAGUUUUGGAAUUUGAAGGGCUGAGUUCCAGCUUUUGGUAGGGAGAAAGCUAAGUCUAGGAUACAAGGAGCAUGGUCAGAGAUGAGGGGAGGGAGGAAGGAGGCUAGGGCAUUAGGGAAAGUUGCGACAAUAUAGGGGUUGACAAGGAGGCGAUCGAGUUUCUUUGAGAUAGGGUUUGAGGGUUGGCUAUUUGUCCAGGUGUGAGCAGGACCUAUGAAGCGCAAAUCAAAGACUCCAAGUUGGAGUAGACAGUCUUGGAGCUGAUACAUGAGGCUGUCUGGAGUAUUAAGGUGGCCAUUUGAGUGUUCAGAAAGCCUGAGAAUCUGAUUGAAGUCACCACCCAAAACCCAGCAGCAGUUUUCUAAAUCAAGGUAGGACUGGAGUUGUAUGAGCUCUGCCCAGAGGUCAACUCGAUCAGCACUUAGAUUUGAGGCGUAUAUGGCAGAGUAGAUGAUGGGCGCUUGGUUUGGGAAAACAAUCUUGCAAGUGAUGCAUUGGUUAGAUUGAGCAAGGAUUUGGACCUUUAGGGAGUCUCUCCAAAUUAAAAGGAUUCGCCAUCAGGUUCAGAGGAGUGAUUGGAAGUGAAGCACCAUCCUGGGCAAAGGCUAGAUAAGAUAGUGUUUAGAGAAGGUUCUUUAACAUGUGAUUCAAGAAUAGCACCAAAAAGGGGUCUAUGAGUAUUAAACCAAGAAAUAAAAGGUCCGUGUUUAGUUGGUUCAUUAAGUCCCCGAACAUUCCAAAAAAAGAGUUUUACACUCAUUAAGAAAUGUUGAUUUGCUCUCCCGAAAGAAUAGGAGAGACUGGAAAAACAUAAGAAGAAGUUGUAGUAGGAUCAGGGGCAGAGGGGAGAGGAGGAGGAAGAGUAAGGGAAAGGGUCUGGUUGAAGGGUCGGGGGUUUAAGACAUCAAGCGAGGGGGAGUUCGUGAAGGGAAACAAAGGGUUUUAAGAGGUUUUUGAAGGGGUUUUAAAUUGGUGAAAAGGUGUAGGCUGGGAAGUUAAAGGCGGGGACAGGGUGGGUGAGGAGCGAGAUCGUUUUAAGGAGGGUCUAGGGGGAGGAUCAGGAGAUAAGAAAGGGUUGGAUGAGGGUGGGAGAGAAAGAAGUUGGGAACCAGCAAAACGACCACUGGACAUCACUAUCUGAGGGGUCCCUUCGUUAGAGGCCAGAGAAACAAAGUUGUUGAUCAGAUUAAUAUUAGGAGACUCUGAUCCCAUUGGUACUGGAUUUUGAGCAGCAGCCUUUGAAGGUAACUGAUAUUUUCUUACAUAGGUACUUUGUUUGGGUUUAACUACACUCUGGUACUUCUUGUUAUGCUUGACAGGUUCAGGGUUUUUCUUUCCCUGGUCAGCAGUGGAGUCCUCAGCUGGAGAGGUAUAGAGAAGGCAAUUCCGCACAAUAUGACCAAGUUCAUGGCAGUGAGAGCAUGUGGGUGGAACCCAAAGAUAAUGGACAGAGACUUCAACCACCUCUCCACUUUGGCGUUCAAAUUCAACAACAGAGGGUAGUGGUUUAGUUAGGUCGACCUCAACCUUCACAUGAGCCAGAGUUAAGCUUACAAGGUUCAACGUAAAAUCGUCUGUCUCUUUGGGGUCUCCAACUAGUCCAGCAACUAAGCUAAGACCCUCUUUGUAGCGCAGGUCUAGCGGUACACCCGUGAGGUGAGCCCAGAUCUUGAUUGCUUUCAAAGGUGGAGUAUUCUUUGAGUGGACAGAGGACCAAAGAGCAGUGUGGAACAUGGAGUCUCCUACAUACCAUAUGUUCUUCUCCAAGAUCUUCUGUCUAAGGUAAUCACUCUGUAUACGUACUAGAACCGUUCUGUUGACAGGAUUGUUGUGAAUUUCCAAACGUUUCCCUUUUCCCCACAGGUGGUUGAAAACGCUUUGUGUCUGGCUAAAGGGCAGAUCUUUACCAUUAAAGUAGCAGAUGAUGAAGUCCUUAUGGAUAUCAGCACCUUUUUGGAAAACUGAAUCUGGAAUAAGCACCCUUGGUCUGCCUGAGGGGGCUAUGGUAACAGGGGCUAGUCUCUGAAGAGAUUUGUCCUCAGAGAGGCGAAGUCUUUCGACUAGAGUUUGACGCACUGGUUGGGAAGAGGGUUUGGGAAGGGGAGCAGAGGAAGUGGCUAAAGGCGGAGGAGAUGAAGAGACAUGUUCAAUAGGGUUGAGCUCAGAGGUAGUUGAUGCCAAAGGGGAAGUUGGGUGAGAAGAGGCCUUGUUUGUGAAAAUGGGGGAGUUUUUUGGUGGGAUAUUUUUUAGGGUUUCAGAAAUGUUAGGUUCAGAUCCAGAGUGUGGAACAGUUACUUUCUCAGAUUCAGGAAUUGGACCAGUUUAGUUUUCCAGCCCCUCUUUUGGUAUGGAGGAGAUUGUACCAAAUUGAGGGAGAGCUGAGUUCAGAGAAUCAACCGGUGCCAUAGUGACAUCAGUAGUAGAGAGAGCGUACUUAGAUCCCUUACGUACUGUAGAAGGACCAGUGGAAAUUGGAGCAGAAGGUGGAGAGGAUAGUGGUGGAAAGUGUUGGGGAGAGAGGGAUGACGAGCUGUCUGGAGGAUCAGGUGGGAUUGGCGGGGGGAGGAGAGGUUCGCCAGCAGCAAACGACGGUGGUUUCAGGCCGGUUAAACGGCCAGGGACCUGCCAAGGGUUUUGCAUUGGGAGCUGUGUCAGGGAGAAACUGACUAUCUAGUCCCAAUGUUAUUUGUUAUUUUUUUAAAGCAUACAUUUUCAUCUAGUAGAAAAAAGAUUAAUAACUUUAUUGUCUUGCUUAGAAUUCUUUUUGCUAUCCAGAGACACGAAUGAUCCUACCUAUUAUCAUUUGAAUAUGUUCCAAAAUUUUGUAACCAACUAACUAAUAUCACUCAAAUUACCCUAAUUAGUGAAUUACUCUCUCAAAUAAGAGGUUCAGAUGUAGUACUUAGGGAUUGAAUCCACAGAGACUCUAGGAUUACACAAUAGAUUAUGGUCUUGGAAUAAAUCUAGAUUAAACCGUUUAAAGCAGUAAAUGGAUUGGUGAGCAAGUAAAUUGCUCGUUUGAUUUGUUUUGAGGUUGUUAACAGUCGAGGGAAAUAGCUAGACUCAGGUUUAUUCUCAGGUGUGAUAAGUAAAACUUAAUUUGGGUAUUAGGGAUUUACUAAUAUCAAUUAUUCUUGAAUUCAAACAAAGGUAUAAUCAAAUUGAUUAUCAAAUCUGGAUCUCGGAUUUCAACUCUCGUAUGUUAAUCACGAGAAAGUGUCGAUCGAUAAUUCUUUGUGAAUAUCGAUCGAUACACCUUUCAAAAUAUCGAUCGACAGAGCUAUCACUGCGUCGAUCGAUACUUCUUCCAGAAAGCUUUACGGCCUGGUUUGAUCUAAAUUCUCUAACUCACUAGACCAACUCUCGUUCGUAUCUAAUCAUUUAGAUCAUUCUAGUUAUUUUCAGGUAUUGAGUCAAGCAAUGGCUUGAUCCUAAUUAAUCAUAAGAUCUAAGUUUACGAGUGAUCAAUCCUAAACUUAGCUUUAAGCAUAACUAGUUGAAAGAAUCAUAUUUCUAAACACCCUAACAAUUAUUAUUGUCAGUAAUACAUUUAUCAACCUAGUGAGAAACCUAAAUCUAACAGUAAGGACUACUCAGACAUAUUCAUGGAACACAUGGUUAUGAUGGUCUGAAUAAUACUUAAUAAAAAUGAAUAAAUAGAGUAAGCAACAAAUGAAAUAAAGCAAAGGAGUUCAAGAUCUUCUCUGUUUUGCAGUGUUGAUCUCUCUCUCCAGCUCUAAACUAUCUUUCAAUGGUAGCUUCUUGCUUCCUCCAAACUAGGUCUAAAAAGGUCUCUAGGCAAAUCUGCCUCUAAAAUGAUACAAAACCCUAAUAAAUAGCCUAACAGGCGGCCAGAGACUAAUGAUGUAAUUACUAAGACUUUUGUGAAACUUGGAAUCUUCUAAUUUGUUAUUAACUCUCGGGUGGCUUCAUAAUCGAUCGACGUGAAGAUUCCAACAUCAAUCGAUAUUUGGUGAUAACUGUCGGUCGAUACUGAGUUGUGACCGUCGACAAUCCCUUGCUUCCAGCGAAGCUCAAAAGAUCUCCAAAUAGCUCCAAAUACAUCACUUUCUUCCAGAUAGUACCUGAACCUGUAAUUACUCUAAAUAAACUCUAUAUAAUAAUAAUAUAUCUUAAAAUACUCAUAAACCAUGGUUAAAAACGGGUAAAAUCCAUGGUCUAUCAACUCUCCCAGAGUUACUCUUUUGCUUGUCCUCAAGCAAAACACAACAGAGCAGUCUCUCUGAAAGAGGUUUGAAAACAUCAGGAACUCACAUGAUUUAAAACUCAUAAUCAUCACCUCUUUAAUAUUGCAAUCCAUAUCUAAAAGGUUCUAAUCACAAAAGCACUUUAUACCAUAUCCUAGCUUAGCAACCAAAUUCAUCUAGCCAGCAACUUAAACAAAUCUUGUCUUAUAUUCCCCUCUACCAACCUCAUUUCUUAACAUAAAUAAAAGUGCAGGCUUUAUCUUGAGGGUAUCAAUCACAGGAUGCAAGGAUUUUCAAACAAGUAUUUGGACCUGCAGGUAAACAUUAGUUCAUAUCCUCUCUCUCUACUAAUUUUCUCUCUUAGUCAAAAUCUGCUUUUAUUGGCAAGAUUAUUGACUUAGAUUGGACAGGUUUCCAUGAAUCAAGACAUAAUGGUGGUUGCCACCAAGUCCUGUUCACUUCUUUUUGACCUAUAUCCAAGAAUACAUAUGAAUCGAGCCUUGAAGAUUGCGGCCACCAAGUCUCGUUCGAAUUCUUUUUUGUUGGAAUCCUUAUGAAGCAAGCUUUAAUGGUUGUAGCCACCAAGUCCUGUUCGGAUUCCACCUAAUAAAUCUCUAAUAGAUCUAAUAAUAAUAUAUAUAUAUAUAUAAGUUUUUUUUAUCUAUUUAUAUAUUCGAAAAUGGAGAGAGAAAGGGUGAUUAAUCUAUCUACACAAGGCUUUACCUUCCAGACUUGUUUGAAGAAUUCGAUCCCAUGUAUACCACGCCCCAAGACAAGCAGUUGUGUCAAGUUUAGUGUUGGAGGUCAGCUUUGGUUCCUUCAAACAAUCUCAGCAAGUGUGGACAGUUGACAGGUUGAUUCACUUUAAUAUCUUUAGUACUAUGUGCAAUCAGAGAAUUUAAAAUGGUGCUAAAAAAAUGGUUAGAUAACAAGCAAAAAUCUAAUAAGAUCAUUAUCCCCUUCUUGACUCAAUAAAAUUUUUUUGUUUGGAAAUAUAUAUAUUUUUUCAGAAAUUCAUGAAUAAACUAAUAUUAGUAAGUACCUCCCAUAAACAUAAAUUUCACUGUCCCCAGUUAUAUUCAGUCUAAGAUUGGUUAGGGU